This is a small nucleolar RNA of Rana temporaria (common frog), 134 nucleotides long. RefSeq annotates it as small nucleolar RNA SNORA57. The record is from RefSeq and is a predicted model, not a curated record. Lineage: Eukaryota; Metazoa; Chordata; Amphibia; Anura; Ranidae. The transcript has a single exon.
CCUCUAUUUCUUGGCACGCUGGGCGUUGUCCGUACCCCAGUGUGUAAUGUAAGGAGGAAGAGAAUACCCGGUGCUAUGUCUUCGGUGCCAGCUUUUGCAAUAAGCUGGUUCUAUCCUCAAUCGCUGGGACAAGC